ACGUAACAGAGGUGGCCCAUAACUGUCAGAUAAUUGAAAAAUUGGUUUGAGCAAAGAGGCAUCAAGAAUUCCUUUGACACCUGGCAUGAGAUGAUGUAGCUUUGGUUUUGGAAUGAGUUUAUUGAUGAUCAAGGAUGGUUCAAGGCAAAUAGGAUCACAACCUAAGGUACAAGCAGUGGAGGAAGAACAUGGAAAAUGAUGAUCAAUCCCUCAAGAUAUUGCAUAGUGGAGUUCAGAAUUAGGGCAUACAGUGUAUUGUGAAACAAUAUAGCUUCUAUUGUACCUUAUUGUCAUUAUACAAAGAAAUGUAUACUAUUUUGGAGGGAAGUGCUGAUGGAGUAUUGUAAUGCUGAUUUUAUGAACGACGGUGAGCACAGUAGGGCACUCCAUCGGGAUUUGGCCACCGUUUCCGAAUAUCUUCCACAACAUAGACUGGCAUGACCUCUCGAACAUCUUCCACGUAACAUCCCAAUGCUUCCUUCCUAGUCUCCUUCGCAGCUGUCUUUCGGGAUGUCACGCAACGCUCCCCCGAAAGAAACGGCUGCUCUCAUUCGAACCACGUUCCUUUCCCGAUUUUAGCCAAUCACAGCUACAGUUCCAUUUUCUGAAACUGUCGCGCGCGAAAUUUUCUAAAGAUUACUCGACCAAUAAUACUUCUCGUUUUAUCGUUCCACGUUCUCCUGAGAUUACAAAAUCAAGAUGGUGGCCCUUAAUGAAGCUUUUCUUCAAGCAUCGUCAACUUUCAAAAUUGCAAGCUUUGAUUCUUACCAGAACCUUGCGAUUCAAAAGUUUGUCGUCCAGAAGCAAGAUGUAUUAGUAAACCUCCCCACAGGCUUUGGAAAAGC
Long non-coding RNA from Stylophora pistillata, 845 nucleotides. The record is from RefSeq and is a predicted model, not a curated record. Lineage: Eukaryota; Metazoa; Cnidaria; Anthozoa; Scleractinia; Pocilloporidae.